Long non-coding RNA from Poecile atricapillus (Black-capped chickadee), 206 nucleotides. RefSeq lists it as uncharacterized. NCBI's taxonomy places the organism in Eukaryota, Metazoa, Chordata, Aves, Passeriformes, Paridae. The record is from RefSeq and is a predicted model, not a curated record. The transcript is spliced from 3 exons.
GGUGUCCCUGAUGUCCCCAAGGGUGUCCCCAGGGUGUCCCCAAGGGUGUCCCCAGGUGUCCCCAGGGUGUCCCCAGGUGUCCCCAAGGUGUCACUUGUAGAACUCGUGCUCCUGCUCGUCCUUCUUGAUGACGGUUUUGUACGCCUUCUCGAAAUCCUUGGCCAGCACGAUGUACCUGUUCUCCCUGACGGCCAGCAUGCCACCCU